This 1313-nucleotide ribosomal RNA is filed under the name Bacillus safensis. RNAcentral describes it as "bacterial SSU rRNA". It matches the Rfam family "Bacterial small subunit ribosomal RNA", at positions 49 to 1346 of the family's 1533-position model. Lineage: Bacteria; Bacillati; Bacillota; Bacilli; Caryophanales; Bacillaceae. The record is from RNAcentral.
UAAUACAUGCAAGUCGAGCGGACAGAAGGGAGNNUGCUCCCGGAUGUUAGCGGCGGACGGGUGAGUAACACGUGGGUAACCUGCCUGUAAGACUGGGAUAACUCCGGGAAACCGGAGCUAAUACCGGAUAGUUCCUUGAACCGCAUGGUUCAAGGAUGAAAGACGGUUUCGGCUGUCACUUACAGAUGGACCCGCGGCGCAUUAGCUAGUUGGUGGGGUAAUGGCUCACCAAGGCGACGAUGCGUAGCCGACCUGAGAGGGUGAUCGGCCACACUGGGACUGAGACACGGCCCAGACUCCUACGGGAGGCAGCAGUAGGGAAUCUUCCGCAAUGGACGAAAGUCUGACGGAGCAACGCCGCGUGAGUGAUGAAGGUUUUCGGAUCGUAAAGCUCUGUUGUUAGGGAAGAACAAGUGCGAGAGUAACUGCUCGCACCUUGACGGUACCUAACCAGAAAGCCACGGCUAACUACGUGCCAGCAGCCGCGGUAAUACGUAGGUGGCAAGCGUUGUCCGGAAUUAUUGGGCGUAAAGGGCUCGCAGGCGGUUUCUUAAGUCUGAUGUGAAAGCCCCCGGCUCAACCGGGGAGGGUCAUUGGAAACUGGGAAACUUGAGUGCAGAAGAGGAGAGUGGAAUUCCACGUGUAGCGGUGAAAUGCGUAGAGAUGUGGAGGAACACCAGUGGCGAAGGCGACUCUCUGGUCUGUAACUGACGCUGAGGAGCGAAAGCGUGGGGAGCGAACAGGAUUAGAUACCCUGGUAGUCCACGCCGUAAACGAUGAGUGCUAAGUGUUAGGGGGUUUCCGCCCCUUAGUGCUGCAGCUAACGCAUUAAGCACUCCGCCUGGGGAGUACGGUCGCAAGACUGAAACUCAAAGGAAUUGACGGGGGCCCGCACAAGCGGUGGAGCAUGUGGUUUAAUUCGAAGCAACGCGAAGAACCUUACCAGGUCUUGACAUCCUCUGACAACCCUAGAGAUAGGGCUUUCCCUUCGGGGACAGAGUGACAGGUGGUGCAUGGUUGUCGUCAGCUCGUGUCGUGAGAUGUUGGGUUAAGUCCCGCAACGAGCGCAACCCUUGAUCUUAGUUGCCAGCAUUNAGUUGGGCACUCUAAGGUGACUGCCGGUGACAAACCGGAGGAAGGUGGGGAUGACGUCAAAUCAUCAUGCCCCUUAUGACCUGGGCUACACACGUGCUACAAUGGACAGAACAAAGGGCUGCAAGACCGCAAGGUUUAGCCAAUCCCAUAAAUCUGUUCUCAGUUCGGAUCGCAGUCUGCAACUCGACUGCNUGAAGCUGGAAUCGCUAGUAAUCGCC